This 337-nucleotide unclassified non-coding RNA is filed under the name soil metagenome. RNAcentral describes it as "partial contains 5.8S ribosomal RNA, internal transcribed spacer 2, and large subunit ribosomal RNA". The stretch from base 1 to 120 matches the Rfam family "5.8S ribosomal RNA", at positions 35 to 154 of the family's 154-position model. The record is from RNAcentral.
GAUGAAGAACGCAGCGAAAUGCGAUAAGUAGUGUGAAUUGCAGAAUUCAGUGAAUCAUCGAAUCUUUGAACGCACAUUGCGCCCCUUGGUAUUCCAUGGGGCAUGCCUGUUCGAGCGUCAUUUGUACCUUCAAGCUCUGCUUGGUGUUGGGUGUUUGUCUCGCCUCUGCGUGUAGACUCGCCUCAAAACAAUUGGCAGCCGGUGUAUUGAUUUCGGAGCGCAGUACAUCUCGCGCUUUGCACUCAUAACGACGACGUCCAAAAGUACAUUUUUACACUCUUGACCUCGGAUCAGGUAGGGAUACCCGCUGAACUUAAGCAUAUCAAUAAGCGGAGGA